UUGGAGGAAUACCGGUGGCGAAGGGCGGCCCCCUGGACAAAAGACUGACGCUCAGGUGCGAAAGCGUGGGGAGCAAACAGGGAUUAGAUACCCUGGUAGUCCACGCCGUAAACGAUGUCGACUUGGAGGUUGUGCCCAUUUGAGGCGUGGCUUCCGGAGCUAACGCGUUAAGUCGACCGCCUGGGGGAGUACGGCCGCAAGGUUAAAACUCAAAUGAAUUGACGGGGGCCCGCACAAGCGGUGGAGCAUGUGGUUUAAUUCGAUGCAACGCGAAGAACCUUACCUACUCUUGACAUCCAGAGAACUUAGCAGAGAUGCUUUGGUGCCUUCGGGAACUCUGAGACAGGUGCUGCAUGGCUGUCGUCAGCUCGUGUUGUGAAAUGUUGGGUUAAGUCCCGCAACGAGCGCAACCCUUAUCCUUUGUUGCCAGCGGUUAGGCCGGGAACUCAAAGGAGACUGCCAGUGAUAAACUGGAGGAAGGUGGGGAUGACGUCAAGUCAUCAUGGCCCUUACGAGUAGGGCUACACACGUGCUACAAUGGCGCAUACAAAGAGAAGCGACCUCGCGAGAGCAAGCGGACCUCAUAAAGUGCGUCGUAGUCCGGAUUGGAGUCUGCAACUCGACUCCAUGAAGUCGGAAUCGCUAGUAAUCGUGGAUCAGAAUGCCACGGUGAAUACGUUCCCGGGCCUU
This 690-nucleotide ribosomal RNA is filed under the name uncultured Enterobacter sp. RNAcentral's name for it is "bacterial SSU rRNA". It matches the Rfam family "Bacterial small subunit ribosomal RNA", at positions 698 to 1382 of the family's 1533-position model. The record is from RNAcentral. Lineage: Bacteria; Pseudomonadati; Pseudomonadota; Gammaproteobacteria; Enterobacterales; Enterobacteriaceae.